AGCAACCUGGGAUGUACGAUAAUUCCUGUUAUUUUGAACCUACAAAACUUUAAACGGGACUCUUAUAUCUCCGUAAUAUGUCAGGCCUCCGAUUUGCGCAGGGGAAGACAGAAAAGCGGAUGCGGACACCCACCUAGCUAUGGCUAGGAGUCAAAAUACAGGAACCGGCAUUUUGGGGAUGUAC
RNAcentral lists this non-coding RNA (184 nucleotides) under Dorea sp. RNAcentral describes it as "6S RNA". It matches the Rfam family "6S / SsrS RNA". Rfam says of the family: E. coli 6S RNA was the first non coding RNA to be sequenced, but its function was unknown until recently. Lineage: Bacteria; Bacillati; Bacillota; Clostridia; Lachnospirales; Lachnospiraceae. The record is from RNAcentral.